RNAcentral lists this unclassified non-coding RNA (1454 nucleotides) under uncultured Neocallimastigales. Its description in RNAcentral is "partial contains small subunit ribosomal RNA, internal transcribed spacer 1, 5.8S ribosomal RNA, internal transcribed spacer 2, and large subunit ribosomal RNA". The stretch from base 691 to 1454 matches the Rfam family "Eukaryotic large subunit ribosomal RNA", at positions 1 to 618 of the family's 3401-position model. The record is from RNAcentral. Lineage: Eukaryota; Fungi; Neocallimastigomycota; Neocallimastigomycetes; Neocallimastigales.
CGGAAGUAAAAGUCGUAACAAGGUUUCCGUAGGUGAGCCUGCGGAAGGAUCAUUAAAAAAUAUCACUCGAUUGAGAGUGAUUUAUAAUCAUCCUACCCUUUGUGAAUUUGUUGUUUGUAAUAAUUUUUUUUGAUUUUAAAAAAAAAUUAUUUAUGGUUUUGUCUAUCCCUAAAAUUGGUUUGUUUGUUGUAAAGACAGUGAAUCAAAUUUAGGGAAUAGGCUUUCAUAAAUAAGUUUUUUUUAAAGUCUUAAAGACCUUUUUUUAAAAUUAAACUUUUGUAUUCAUUUGUCUAAAUUUUUUUAAAUAAUUUAAAAACAACUUUUGACAAUGGAUCUCUUGGUUCUCGCAACGAUGAAGAACGCAGCAAAAUGCGAUAAGUAAUGUGAAUUGCAGAAUACGUGAAUCAUCAAAUCUUCGAACGCAUAUUGCACUUUUUUAGUUUACUAAAAAAGUAUGUCUGUUUGAGUAUCAGUAAAAUAUUCUCAUAAAAACAUUUUUGUUUUUAUGGUUAUGAGUGUUUUACAACGAUAAACAAGUUGUUUCACUUUAAAUUCAUUUUAAUUUAAGACCAUUUAUGGUUUUAAUAAUUAAAAUUGGAUAAAAUUUUCCCGUAAAAAGGAAUAAACUUUUCAGUUUUUAAUUAGACAAUCACGGUCCGAUUUAAAAGGAAAUUUAUAAUUUAAAUAACUUGAUCUCAAAUCAGAUAAGAGUACCCGCUGAACUUAAGCGUAUCAAUAAGCGGAGGAAAAGGAACUAACAAGGAUUCCCUUAGUAACGGCGAGUGAAGCGGGAAGAGCUCAAAUUUGAAAUCUUCAAGGUUCUACCUUGACGAAUUGUAGUUUAAAGAAGUGUUUUCUGUUAGAUGAGUAGCAAAAGUUCCUUGGAAUGGGACAUCAUAGAGGGUGAGAAUCCCGUAUUUGGUUAUUCAUUCUAGCUUUGUGAUACACUUUCAAAGAGUCGGAUUGUUUGGGAAUGCAGUCCAAAAUGGGUGGUAAAUUUCAUCUAAAGCUAAAUAUUGGCGAGAGACCGAUAGCGAACAAGUACCGUGAGGGAAAGAUGAAAAGAACUUUGAAAAGAGAGUUAAACAGUACGUGAAAUGUCAAAAGGGAAGCGUUUGACACCAGUGUUGUUUUUCCGAAAAUCAAUUACGAAUGGCUUGAUUUUGUGUUGUAUUGACCUUAUCAGCUUUCUGCACUUUUUUCGAGUCUUUCUUAAUGCACUUUUCGGUUAACAAGUCAACAUCAAUUUCUUUUGUUGUAAAAGAGUAUUCGGAAGGUGGCUUUCUUUUCGGAGAAAGUGUUUAUAGCCCUAUACUUCUACAAUCGGAGAGAUUGAGGUCUGCAGCGUAGAUCCUUCGGGGUUAGAUACAUUUGUGCUAAGUUGUAGCUUUUCAUAGACAACUUGUUGACUAUGUUUAGUCAUGCGGCUUACUCGCUUAUGCUAUUCUACCUAC